This 494-nucleotide ribosomal RNA is filed under the name uncultured bacterium. RNAcentral's name for it is "partial 16S ribosomal RNA". It matches the Rfam family "Bacterial small subunit ribosomal RNA", at positions 28 to 507 of the family's 1533-position model. The record is from RNAcentral.
GACGAACGCUGGCGGCGUGCUUAACACAUGCAAGUCGAACGGAAGGGCCUGCUUUCCCUUGUGGAUUGCGGGUACUCGAGUGGCGAACGGGUGAGUAACACGUGAGUGAUCUGCCCCCAACUUGGGUAUAAGCCUGGGAAACUGGGUCUAAUUCCCGAUAGGACUGCAGGGUGGUGCCUGUGGUGGAAAACGAUUUUCUAGUGGUUGGGGAUGAGCUCGCGGCCUAUCAGCUUGUUGGUGGGGUAAUGGCCUACCAAGGCGGCGACGGGUAGCCGGCCUGAGAGGGUGGACGGCCACAUUGGGACUGAGAUGCGGCCCAGACUCCUACGGGAGGCAGCAGUGGGGAAUAUUGCACAAUGGGCGGAAGCCUGAUGCAGCGACGCCGCGUGGGGGAUGACGGCCUUCGGGUUGUAAACUCCUUUCGACCGCGAGGAAGCCACCUGGUUGGAAGGGUGGUGACGGUAGUGGUAGAAGAAGCACCGGCUAACUACGUG